Molecule: ribosomal RNA, 301 nt
Filed under: uncultured bacterium
Lineage: Bacteria
Description: partial 16S ribosomal RNA
Rfam family: Bacterial small subunit ribosomal RNA
Source: RNAcentral
CAGUCGCCGCGGGAAUACGAAGGGUGCAAGCGUUAAUCGGAAUUACUGGGCGUAAAGCGUGCGUAGGCGGUGAGUUAAGUCUGCUGUGAAAUCCCCGGGCUCAACCUGGGAAUGGCAGUGGAUACUGGCUCGCUAGAGUGUGUCAGAGGAUGGUGGAAUUCCCGGUGUAGCGGUGAAGUGCGUAGAGAUCGGGAGGAACAUCAGUGGCGAAGGCGGCCAUCUGGGACAACACUGACGCUGAGGCACGAAAGCGUGGGGAGCAAACAGGAUUAGAUACCCCUGUAGUCCCUGUCUCUUAUAC